AGAGUUUGAUCAUGGCUCAGAUUGAACGCUGGCGGCAGGCCUAACACAUGCAAGUCGAGCGGGGACUUCGGUCCUAGCGGCGAACGGGUGAGGAAUGCUUGGGAAUCUGCCUGGUAGUGGGGGAUAACGUUCCGAAAGGAACGCUAAUACCGCAUACGUCCUACGGGAGAAAGGGGGGGAUCUUCGGACCUCUCGCUAUCAGAUGAGCCCAAGCGGGAUUAGCUAGUUGGUGAGGUAAAGGCUCACCAAGGCGACGAUCCCUAGCUGGUCUGAGAGGAUGAUCAGCCACACUGGAACUGAGACACGGUCCAGACUCCUACGGGAGGCAGCAGUGGGGAAUAUUGGACAAUGGGCGAAAGCCUGAUCCAGCCAUGCCGCGUGUGUGAAGAAGGCCUUCGGGUUGUAAAGCACUUUAGGCGAGGAGGAAGGUUCGUCACCUAAUACGUGACGGAAUUGACGUUACUCGCAGAAUAAGCACCGGCUAACUCUGUGCCAGCAGCCGCGGUAAUACAGAGGGUGCAAGCGUUAAUCGGAAUUACUGGGCGUAAAGCGCGCGUAGGCGGUUGUGUAAGUUGGAUGUGAAAUCCCCGGGCUUAACCUGGGCACUGCAUUCAAAACUGCACGGCUAGAGUAUUGGAGAGGAAGGUAGAAUUCCAGGUGUAGCGGUGAAAUGCGUAGAGAUCUGGAGGAAUACCGAUGGCGGAAGGCAGCCUUCUGGCCAAAUA
Molecule: ribosomal RNA, 725 nt
Filed under: uncultured Pseudomonadaceae bacterium
Lineage: Bacteria; Pseudomonadati; Pseudomonadota; Gammaproteobacteria; Pseudomonadales; Pseudomonadaceae
Description: bacterial SSU rRNA
Rfam family: Bacterial small subunit ribosomal RNA
Source: RNAcentral